AGAGGAGAUUCUAUAUGUCACCCAGACUAGAGUGCUGUGGCAUGAUCAUAGCCUUGAACUCCUGGAGUCAAGUGACCCUCCCGUCUCAGUAUAGGCAUGUGCCACAGGUCCUAGCUUAUACAUAUUUUUAAAGCAGGAAGUUGAUCAGUACCAAAAUGUUUUAACAAUAUGCAAUAUAUUUGAUUUUCUAAUUAGAACUUUCUGAUUCUUUUACUUUGCUGAAGUAUAUUUUACCUACAAUACAUGCAUUUUAGUUGUAUAAUUCAGCAAGUUUUGGAAAUGUGUACCUGUGUAACCACCAUGCCAAUCAAGAUUUAGAACAUUUCUAUCACUCUAGAUAGUUUUCUUAUGCCCCUUUGAAGUUAAUACCCCUCCAUUCUUUCUUUCUGGCAACCACUAAUCUGCUUUCUGUCACUAUAGAUUUGUUUGAUCUGUUCUAGAAGUUCAUAUAAAUAGAAGCAUGCCGUUUGUUAAAGUUUGUGUCUGGCUUUUGAUCAACAUGUUUUUGAGAUUGAUCUGUGUUGCAUCUAACAGCAGUUCAUUCCCUCUUAAUGCUGAGUAAUAUACUAUGAUAUUAAUAUACCACAAUUUAUCCAUUCUUCAGUUAAAAAAUAUUUGGAUAAAAUUUUGAGGGCCGGGCACAGUGGCUCACGCCUGUAAUCCCAGCACUUUGGGAGGCCGAGGCGGGCAGAUCACUUGAGGUGAGGAGUUUGAGACCAGCCUGGCUAACAUAGUGAAACCCCGUCUCUACUAAAAAUACAAAAGUUAGCCGGGUGUGGUGGCAUGCACCUGUAAUCCCAGCUACUUGGGAGGCUGAGGCCGGAGAAUCACUUGAACCCGGGAGGUGGAGGUUGCAGUGAACCGGGAUUGCGCCACUGCACUCCUGCCUGGGCAACAGAGUAAGACUCUCAAAAAAAAAGAAAAAAUUUUUUUUGAGCUAGUAUGACUGAAGCUGCUCUAAACAUUCAUAAAGUCUUUUUGUAGACCUAUGUUUUCAUUUCUCUUGGAUAAACACCUAGGAGUAGAAUUGCCGGAUCAAGUGAGGUAAAUGUAUGUUUUAAUUGUAUAAAAAACUGCUAAACUGUUUUUAGUUUACUAAAUUGAUAUAAAAGGCGGGGUACAGUGGCUCACACCUGUAAUCCCAGCAUUUUCAGAGGCCAAGGAGGACGGAUCACUUUUUUUUUUUCCGGGGUGUGGGGGGAAGGUUUUAAAUGUAUUUUUAUUUUAUUUUUUUAUUUUUUUAUUAUACUUUAAGUUCUAGGGUACAUGUGCACAACAUGCAGGUUUGUUACGUAUGUAUACAUGUGCCAUGUUGGUGUGCUGCACCCGUUAACUCGUCAUUUACAUUAGGUAUAUCUCCUAAUGCUAUCCCUCCCCUCUCCCCCCACCCCACAACAGGCCCCAGUGUGUGAUGUUCCCCACCCUGUGUCCUGGUGUUCUCAUUGUUCAGUUCCCACUUAUGAGUGAGAACAUGCAGUGUUUGGUUUUCUGUCCUUGUGAUAGUUUUCUCAGAAUGAUGGUUUCCAGCUUCAUCCAUGUCCCUACAAAAGACAUGAACUCAUCCUUUUUUUGGCUGCAUAGUAUUCCAUGGUGUAUAUGUGCCACAUUUUCUUAAUCCAGUCUAUCAUUGAUUUGGGUUGGUUCCAAGUCUUUGCUAUCGUAAAUAGUGCUGCAGUCAAUGUACGUGUGCAUGUGUCUUUAUAGCAGCAUGAUUUAUAAUCCUUUGGGUAUAUACCCAGUAAUGGGAUGGCUGGGUCAAAUGGUAUUUCUAGUUCUAGAUCCUUGAGGAAUCACCACACUGUCUUCCACAAUGGUUGAACUAGUUUACGGUCCCACCAACAGUGUAAAAGUGUUCCUAUUUCUCCACAUCCUCUCCAGCACCUGUUGUUUCCGACUUUUUAAUGAUCGCCAUUCUAACUGGUGUGAGAUGGUAUCUCAUUGUGGUUUUGAUUUGCAUUUCUCUGAUGGCCAGUGAUGAUGAGCAUUUUUUCAUGUGUCUGUUGGCUGCAUGAAUGUCUUCUUUUGAGAAGUGUCUGUUCAUAUCCUUUGCCCACUUUUUGAUGGGAUUGUUUGAUUUUUUCUUGGAAAUUUGUUUAAGUUCUUUGUAGAUUCUGGAUAUUAGCCCUUUGUCAGAUGGGUAGAUGGUAAAAAUUUUCUCCCAUUCUGUAGGUUGCCUAUUCACUCUGAUGGUAGUUUCUUUUGCUGUGCAGAAGCUCUUUAAUUAGAUCCCAUUUGUCAAUUUUGAGUUUUGUUGCCAUUGCUUUUGGUGUUUUAGUCAUGAAGUCCUUGCCCAUGCCUAUGUCCUGAAUGGUAUUGCCUAGGUUUUCUUCUAGGGUUUUUCUGGUUUUAGGUCUAACAUUUAAGUCUUUAAUCCAUCUUGAAUUAACUUUUGUAUAAGGUGUAAGGAAGGGAUCCAGUUUCAGCUUUCUACAUAUGGCUAGCCAGUUUUCCCAGCACCAUUUAUUAAAUAGGGCAUCCUUUCCCCAUUUCUUCUUUUUGUCAGGUUUGUCAAAGAUCAGAUGGUUGUAGAUGUGUGGUAUUAUUUCUGAGGGCUCUGUUCUGUUCCAUUGGUCUGUAUCUCUGUUUUGGUACCAGUAGCAUGCUGUUUUGGUUACUGUAGCCUUGUAGUAUAGUUUGAAGUUGGAUAGGGUGAUGCCUUCAGCUUUAUUCUUUUGGCUUAGGGUUGUCUUGGCAAUGCAGGCUCUUUUUUGGUUCCAUAUGAACUUUAAAGUAGUUUUUUCCAAUUCUGUGAAGAAAGUCAUUGGUAGCUUGAUGGGGAUGGCAUUGAAUCUAUAAAUUACCUUGGGCAGUAUGGCCAUUUUCACAAUAUUGAUUCUUCCCAUCCAUGAGCAUGGAAUGUUCUUCCAUUUGUUUGGUCCUCUUUUACUUGGUUGAGCAGUGGUUUGUAGUUCUCCUUGAAGAGGUCCUUCACAUCCCUUGUAAGUUGGAUUCCUAGGUAUUUUAUUCUCUUUGUAGCAAUUGUGAAUGGGAGUUCACUCAUGAUUUGGCUCUCUCUUUGUCUGUUAUUGAUGUAUAGGAAUGCUUGUGAUUUCUGCACAUUGAUUUUGUAUCCUGAGACUUUGCUGAAGUUGCUUAUCAGCUUAAGGAGAUUUUGGGCUGAGACGAUGGAGUUUUCUACAUGUACAAUCAUGUCAUCUGCAAACAGGGAUAAUUCGACUUCCUCUUUUCCUAAUUGAAUACCCUUUAUUUCUUUCUCCUGCCUGAUUGCCCUGGCCAGAACUUCCAACACUGUGUUGAAUAGGAGUGGUGAGAGAGGGCAUCCCUGUCUUGCGCCAGUUUUCAAAGGGAAUGCUUCCAGUUUUUGUCCAUUCAGUAUGAUAUUGGCUGUGGGUUUGUCAUAAAUAGCUCUUAUUAUUUUGAGAUACGGCGGACGCAUCACUUGAGGCCAGGAGUUCGAGACCAGCCUGGGCAACAUAGUGAAAUCCUGUCUCUACUAAAAAUACAAAAAACAUUAGCCAGGCAUGGUGGUGCACGCCUGUGGUACUGGCUACUGAAGAGGCCGAGUUCGUGCUACUGCACUCCAGCCUGGGCAACACAGCAAGACUUGGUCUCAAAAAUAAAUAAAUAAAUAAAUAAAUAAAUAAAUAAAUAAAUAAAUAGAUAUAGAAACUAAGAAGAUGAUGGUGUUACUCACUGGAUGCAAAAUGUAACCAACCAGUUAUGUAAUUGUACUCUGAAUCUGUUCUUCUAGUAUUGUGAAAGAAUGGUAUUGGCAUAAAGAUGUGAUUUUUUUCUUGUAUGUAUUGUUAAAGUCACAGAAAAUCAUCUAUAUUGUGGUAAGAGAGAAUAUAUGCCAGACAAAUGCUCUGCUGUCUGUCAGAAAGAG
Molecule: long non-coding RNA, 3847 nt
Filed under: Homo sapiens (human)
Lineage: Eukaryota; Metazoa; Chordata; Mammalia; Primates; Hominidae
Description: HSALNT0377641
Source: RNAcentral